GACGAACGCUGGCGGCGUGCUUAACACAUGCAAGUCGAACGGAAAGGCCCCUUUGGGGGUACUCGAGUGGCGAACGGGUGAGUAACACGUGAGUAACCUGCCCUUGACUUCGGGAUAACUUCAGGAAACUGGGGCUAAUACCGGAUAGGAAUCCUUGCUGCAUGGUGGGGGUUGGAAAGCUUCGGCGGUUUUGGAUGGACUCGCGGCUUAUCUGCUUGUUGGUGGGGUAGUGGCUUACCAAGGCUUUGACGGGUAGCCGGCCUGAGAGGGCGACCGGCCACAUUGGGACUGAGAUACGGCCCAGACUCCUACGGGAGGCAGCAGUGGGGAAUAUUGCACAAUGGGCGGAAGCCUGAUGCAGCAACGCCGCGUGCGGGAUGACGGCCUUCGGGUUGUAAACCGCUUUCAGCAGGGGCGAAGCUUGUGGUGACGGUACCUGCAGAAGAAGCACCGGCUAACUACGUG
Molecule: ribosomal RNA, 465 nt
Filed under: uncultured bacterium
Lineage: Bacteria
Description: partial 16S ribosomal RNA
Rfam family: Bacterial small subunit ribosomal RNA
Source: RNAcentral